Molecule: long non-coding RNA, 255 nt
Filed under: Vigna radiata
Lineage: Eukaryota; Viridiplantae; Streptophyta; Magnoliopsida; Fabales; Fabaceae
Description: long non-coding RNA (VRAD_LNC008006)
Source: RNAcentral
AGAAUAGAUUGGAGAAACAUAAAGGCAAAGAAUCCUAAAAUAACUGUGCUAGAAAAUUAAAACGAUAUAUGCAAGAAUUGUAAAUUGUAUUAAAAAGGGGCAAGAAACAAUGUAAACCGUAACAAAGCAAGCAUAAAAUUGGUAUUGAAAACUGAAUUUGAAAAGUACAAGAUAUCGGAGUUACUCAGAAUCCCACUAUCUGUCACCCAAUGGAAAUGAUCCAAGAACCCCAACGAAGCAGCGUUUCUAGUUUCU